Long non-coding RNA from Rana temporaria (common frog), 629 nucleotides. RefSeq lists it as uncharacterized. The transcript has 3 exons. NCBI's taxonomy places the organism in Eukaryota, Metazoa, Chordata, Amphibia, Anura, Ranidae. The record is from RefSeq and is a predicted model, not a curated record.
GAAUGGUAUCUAAUGUAAACAAAACAUUUACAUAGAAUUCACUAUGGGACUUCUAAAUAAAUCUUAUAAACUGAUCUUUCCAAUCCCUAGUCACAUCUCGUUACAUCCUCAUUUAGCUUCAAUCUCAAGUUAUCCUGCCACUACACCAUCAUUGAAAGGAGCCUAUAUUAGGUUGAGUUCAGAAAGGUACAAUAACAUACAUGGAUUUUAAUGUUGAUUUUUUUUUCUCUUCCACCCCCCACCCCCCUCCCCAUCUAUUAAAAAUGUAAUAAUAAAAAGUUCAAACGCUGUGGAAUUCAGAAGAUUAGGACUCUGAGGAAGCAGUGGUGGGGCCAUACAAACUGUAUGUGUCGUCUUUUAAAACUCUGCAUGGGACAGAGUGGCUUUCUGAUGAGGUCAUUGAUGCAUACAUAUGGCAUGUAAUUGCACAUUAUCGACUACCGGUUCACCAGAUAUGCGCCAGUGCUGCUACGUCCUUAUUUAUUGGUGAAAUGUCAAGACUUGGAAAGGUUAGUUGUCUGUUCUGUCCUAAUUUUAUAUAUUUUAAUGAUUAAAAAACUUUCUCUUUGGUUAGGUUAAAGAAAUGCCUAAGUUAUAUAUUAUUUUAUUUUUUUUAAAACAGAGGCCAU